UACAGAGGGUGCAAGCGUUAAUCGGAUUUACUGGGCGUAAAGCGCGCGUAGGCGGCUAAUUAAGUCAAAUGUGAAAUCCCCGAGCUUAACUUGGGAAUUGCAUUCGAUACUGGUUAGCUAGAGUGUGGGAGAGGAUGGUAGAAUUCCAGGUGUAGCGGUGAAAUGCGUAGAGAUCUGGAGGAAUACCGAUGGCGAAGGCAGCCAUCUGGCCUAACACUGACGCUGAGGUGCGAAAGCAUGGGGAGCAAACAGG
This 253-nucleotide non-coding RNA is filed under the name Acinetobacter calcoaceticus. RNAcentral describes it as "partial 16S ribosomal RNA". It matches the Rfam family "Bacterial small subunit ribosomal RNA", at positions 524 to 776 of the family's 1533-position model. RNAcentral also lists the same sequence under 4 other names. The record is from RNAcentral. Lineage: Bacteria; Pseudomonadati; Pseudomonadota; Gammaproteobacteria; Moraxellales; Moraxellaceae.